GUUAAAACGAUAAAUAAAUUUGAUUUGUAAUCAGUGGGUUGCAGGUUCAACUCCUGUCACCAGCUCCA
Molecule: transfer RNA, 68 nt
Filed under: Caudoviricetes sp.
Lineage: Duplodnaviria; Heunggongvirae; Uroviricota; Caudoviricetes
Description: tRNA-Thr
Rfam family: tRNA
About the family: Transfer RNA (tRNA) molecules are approximately 80 nucleotides in length.
Source: RNAcentral